This 470-nucleotide ribosomal RNA is filed under the name uncultured bacterium. Its description in RNAcentral is "partial 16S ribosomal RNA". It matches the Rfam family "Bacterial small subunit ribosomal RNA", at positions 28 to 507 of the family's 1533-position model. The record is from RNAcentral.
GACGAACGCUGGCGGCGUGCUUAACACAUGCAAGUCGAACGGAAAGGCUCCAGCUUGCUGGAGUACUCGAGUGGCGAACGGGUGAGUAAUACGUGAGUAACCUGCCCUUGACUCUGGGAUAAGCCUGGGAAACUGGGUCUAAUACUGGAUACGACAUGCCACUGCAUGGUGGUGUGUGGAAAGGGUUUUACUGGUUUUGGAUGGGCUCACGGCCUAUCAGCUUGUUGGUGGGGUAAUGGCCUACCAAGGCGACGACGGGUAGCCGGCCUGAGAGGGUGACCGGCCACACUGGGACUGAGACACGGCCCAGACUCCUACGGGAGGCAGCAGUGGGGAAUAUUGCACAAUGGGCGGAAGCCUGAUGCAGCGACGCCGCGUGAGGGAUGACGGCCUUCGGGUUGUAAACCUCUUUCAGCACGGAAGAAGCGAGAGUGACGGUACGUGCAGAAGAAGCGCCGGCUAACUACGUG